GGGGGUAUGGCUCAGUGAUAGAGCAUUUGCCUAGCAUGCACAAGGCACUGGGUUCAAUCCCCAGUACCACCA
Sciurus carolinensis (gray squirrel) is the source of this 72-nucleotide non-coding RNA. The record is from the annotation of a RefSeq genome assembly. NCBI's taxonomy places the organism in Eukaryota, Metazoa, Chordata, Mammalia, Rodentia, Sciuridae.